This is a non-coding RNA of Acanthosepion pharaonis, 112 nucleotides long. The record is from the annotation of a GenBank genome assembly. Lineage: Eukaryota; Metazoa; Mollusca; Cephalopoda; Sepiida; Sepiidae.
UAUGGCCAAAUCACAUUGAAACACCAGUUUCCAUCCAAUCAUCUAAGUUAAGCAACAUUGAGCCUGGUCAGUACCUAGAUGGGUGACCAUUUGGGAAUACCAGAUGCUGUAA